Molecule: long non-coding RNA, 1849 nt
Organism: Hypomesus transpacificus
Lineage: Eukaryota; Metazoa; Chordata; Actinopteri; Osmeriformes; Osmeridae
Exons: 5
Source: RefSeq, a predicted model, not a curated record
GUUUGACGCCAAAAGGGUAGAGGAGAGUUCAAUGACAUUGAGCCUCAUUCACCAAAGGUUUUUAAGAACAAUUUGUUCUCAAGCCCCACGUAUGCAGUUGUCAGGGAGUACUCCCAAGCAGUAGUCUGCCCAGCACACAAACCAGAAGCAAAGAGCCCACUUCCUCAAGGUGAAUACUCCCACACAGUGACAUUAUAGCCUAUCAUUUACGUGCCGUUCAUAGACUCGAAACUGAUCCGCAAAUAGAAACUGAUCUCACGAACGUCACCAAUCCGAUUUAUUUUUAUUGUCCAUGUCACCCCCAUGAAUCUCCAUUCCAACGUGUCCUUCUUUCCUCAUUCUUCCAUAACAUAUUCAGUAGUUCCUUCAGAGCGUUUUGGUUUAAAAGCAGAUGCUGCAGUCACAGGUGCUCACAUGCGGUAGGCACCAUGUCUGUCUCUACCAUCCUGCUGCCUCUGUUGCUGCUGCUCUCUGGAUCCUCAGCCUCCCACUUCCACGGAGGGACCAUGACCUUUAACCCCAAAGGAGUCAACGCAGACGGAUCCUACACGGUGGACAUUCGCUUCAAGUUGGCCCUUCAAGCGACAUGUUCCACUACAGCCUGGGCUAACCUUUGGACAUGUACGAGUGGAAAUUGUGGCAGUAUUAGCAGCAAUGCUCUGUAUAACCUGGACAGUAGCAGUGGAGACUGGUGCCAGUGGGAAGAAGUCAUGAUUAGAAAUGUUGACACCAACCUACCUUUUAUACUUCAACUGUCUGGUGGUAACUGGAUCACCACCUAUGUUGGGGGUAUAUCAUGGAGACUAAGAACUACGGUGGAUCUGGGAGUGAGGUCUGACACAGGGACAGCCAACAGAUCCCCACAGACCACAGUCAUACCUCUUCUGCUAGUUCCAGUGAAUUGUCCCAGGGAUUUUCAGUUUUUGGCCCAUGAUCCAGAUGGAGACCCGGUUCAGUGCAGAUUUGCUCUAUCUGGGAACCAGGAGUGUGCUACUUGUUCACUACCAAGCUUUUUUACACUGAAAGUAAGGACCCAAGGAGGACACACCCAGACAUUCGAGAAGAAUGAUCAUAUUUCAAGUGUAAAUCUCCCAUAUUAAACAUUUAAACUAAAUCUUAAUCAACGUUAUUUUUGUACCCUUCAGUCACCAUGUACGCUAUCUUACUUGAACACUUCCAUCUCGGCUGAAAACACGUACGCGGUGCAGAUUAUGAUGGAGGACUUCCCCACUGCGUCUAUAACCCUGACCUACAAGGAUGGCUCGCAGUCUAACCGGAGUUCCUCCAGCCCUCUCAGCAAGUUGCCCGUACAUUUUGCAGUCAGAGUUGGGGCUGCAGUGCCCUCCUGUGCAGAGGGGGAAUAUCUCCCCAGGUUCCUGUCCCCGACGCCGGCCUACGGAACCCACUUCUACGUUGCUGUCAACAACACACUGGAGAUCUCAGUCAGGGCAGAGGCCAAUCUUUCCAAGUGAGGAAAAUACACUGUAACUCAUGUAUUCACCACUAAGAGGCAGCGUGUACUUUACAUCAAUCAGUCUGCCUGUCUAGAAAUAAUCCUACAUAUCCUUAGUCUAGAAUAAUACUUAUGGGAAUGUGUUGUUGUGGUUUUUUAAGCGUUUCCGAGCUUCUGGUCAGUGGUCCGCACGAUUUUAUAAAGACCACGACUGCACCUGGACAGUUCACAAUAAGAUGGACACCAACAGAAGACGACAGACAGGACCAUCCUAUCUGCUUCGUUUCCCAGGCGCAGGAAGUCGGGUCAGUCUCCAUUUUGCUAAUUCAAGUGAUUCUCUAUCAGUUCAGUUGUUUUAUAAUCCGUGAUCUAUCAUUUUAAGUACCAAAUUUGAAA